UGGGGAAUAUUGGACAAUGGAGGAAACUCUGAUCCAGCAAUUCUGUGUGUGUGAAGAAGGUUUUAGGACUGUAAAACACUUUUAGUAGGGAAGAAAAAAAUGACGGUACCUACAGAAGAAGCAACGGCUAAAUACGUGCCAGCAGCCGCGGUAAUACGUAUGUUGCGAGCGUUAUCCGGAAUUAUUGGGCUUAAAGGGCAUCUAGGCGGUAAGACAAGUUGAAGGUGAAAACCUGUGGCUCAACCAUAGGCUUGCCUACAAAACUGUUGAACUAGAGUACUGGAAAGGUGGUUGGAACUACACGAGUAGAGGUGAAAUUCGUAGAUAUGUGUAGGAAUGCCGAUGAUGAAGAUAACUCACUGGACAGAAACUGACGCUGAAGUGCGAAAGCUAGGGGAGCAAACAGG
This 407-nucleotide ribosomal RNA is filed under the name Verrucomicrobiota bacterium. Its description in RNAcentral is "Verrucomicrobia bacterium partial 16S ribosomal RNA". It matches the Rfam family "Bacterial small subunit ribosomal RNA", at positions 355 to 776 of the family's 1533-position model. Lineage: Bacteria; Pseudomonadati; Verrucomicrobiota. The record is from RNAcentral.